RNAcentral lists this ribosomal RNA (404 nucleotides) under Actinomycetes bacterium. Its description in RNAcentral is "Actinobacteria bacterium partial 16S ribosomal RNA". It matches the Rfam family "Bacterial small subunit ribosomal RNA", at positions 355 to 776 of the family's 1533-position model. The record is from RNAcentral. Lineage: Bacteria; Bacillati; Actinomycetota; Actinomycetes.
UGGGGAAUAUUGGACAAUGGGCGCAAGCCUGAUCCAGCCAUGCCGCGUGAGUGAUGAAGGCCCUAGGGUUGUAAAGCUCUUUCACCGGUGAAGAUAAUGACGGUAACCGGAGAAGAAGCCCCGGCUAACUUCGUGCCAGCAGCCGCGGUAAUACGAAGGGGGCUAGCGUUGUUCGGAUUUAGUGGGCGUAAAGCGCACGUAGGCGGACUAUUAAGUCAGGGGUGAAAUCCCGGGGCUCAACCCCGGAACUGCCUUUGAUACUGGUAGUCUUGAGUUCGAGAGAGGUGAGUGGAAUUCCGAGUGUAGAGGUGAAAUUCGUAGAUAUUCGGAGGAACACCAGUGGCGAAGGCGGCUCACUGGCUCGAUACUGACGCUGAGGUGCGAAAGCGUGGGGAGCAAACAGG